Molecule: RNA transcript, 689 nt
Organism: Anopheles funestus (African malaria mosquito)
Lineage: Eukaryota; Metazoa; Arthropoda; Insecta; Diptera; Culicidae
Gene: ATPsynF
Gene name: putative ATP synthase subunit f, mitochondrial
Exons: 3
Source: RefSeq, a predicted model, not a curated record
AUAAACUCUCUGUAAAAUGUCAAAAUGUUCCACAUUUCGAAACCUGCUCUUCUUUGACAACCUCUUGCUUCUCUGAAAAACUUCGACCGUCGUGCUACGAAAAGCCGUAACUCUGUGAAAAAGGCUACAACACAGAGGUUUUGAAGAGGGUAAAAGAACAACAUGGCUAUCGGUGAUUAUCCCGCAGAAUAUAAUCCGAAGGUCCAUGGACCUUACGAUCCGGCCCGCUUUUAUGGAAAGCCUGACACUCCGUUUGGUCAAGUAAAACUUAGCGAGCUGGGCUCUUGGUUUGGACGGCGCGAUAAAAAUCCGCGUGCCGUAGCUGGAGUUUUCAGUCGCACCUUUUGGAGAUGGCAGCACAAGUAUGUGCAGCCCAAGCGAACUGGUAUUGCUCCGUUCUUCCAAGUUAUCGUGGGUGGAAUGGUGUUUUUCUACACUAUUAACUACGGAAAACUGAAGCAUCACCGAAACUACAAAUACCACUAAACGAUGAACCUUUGCCGGAUAGUUCUCAUUACAUCAUUUCGAAGCAAUUGGACAAACAACAUCGAUUGCAGAGAAUUGGCAUCCCGUGCCGAAUGCGAAAUGGAAAAAGGAAUGAAGAAUAAAUGAGGAAACAUUAAUAGAAUGCAAAUUAUGUAAUGUGUAAAAAUAAAUGCCUAUUUGUUUGACAAAUCCGAGCAAAAAUA